RNAcentral lists this unclassified non-coding RNA (649 nucleotides) under Pseudomonas aeruginosa. Its description in RNAcentral is "partial contains 16S ribosomal RNA, 16S-23S ribosomal RNA intergenic spacer, and 23S ribosomal RNA". The stretch from base 1 to 142 matches the Rfam family "Bacterial small subunit ribosomal RNA", at positions 1392 to 1533 of the family's 1533-position model. Lineage: Bacteria; Pseudomonadati; Pseudomonadota; Gammaproteobacteria; Pseudomonadales; Pseudomonadaceae. The record is from RNAcentral.
GCCCGUCACACCAUGGGAGUGGGUUGCUCCAGAAGUAGCUAGUCUAACCGCAAGGGGGACGGUUACCACGGAGUGAUUCAUGACUGGGGUGAAGUCGUAACAAGGUAGCCGUAGGGGAACCUGCGGCUGGAUCACCUCCUUAAUCGAAGAUCUCAGCUUCUUCAUAAGCUCCCACACGAAUUGCUUGAUUCACUGGUUAGACGAUUGGGUCUGUAGCUCAGUUGGUUAGAGCGCACCCCUGAUAAGGGUGAGGUCGGCAGUUCGAAUCUGCCCAGACCCACCAAUUGUUGGUGUGCUGCGUGAUCCGAUACGGGGCCAUAGCUCAGCUGGGAGAGCGCCUGCUUUGCACGCAGGAGGUCAGGAGUUCGAUCCUCCUUGGCUCCACCAUCCAAACAAUCGUCGAAAGCUCAGAAAUGAAUGUUCGUGAAUGAACAUUGAUUUCUGGUCUUUGCACCAGAACUGUUCUUUAAAAAUUCGGGUAUGUGAUAGAAGUAAGACUGAAUGAUCUCUUUCACUGGUGAUCAUUCAAGUCAAGGUAAAAUUUGCGAGUUCAAGCGCGAAUUUUCGGCGAAUGUCGUCUUCACAGUAUAACCAGAUUGCUUGGGGUUAUAUGGUCAAGUGAAGAAGCGCAUACGGUGGAGGCCUUGGC